RNAcentral lists this long non-coding RNA (419 nucleotides) under Coccomyxa subellipsoidea. RNAcentral's name for it is "long non-coding RNA (CSUB_LNC000411)". Lineage: Eukaryota; Viridiplantae; Chlorophyta; Trebouxiophyceae; Coccomyxaceae. The record is from RNAcentral.
CUGCAGCAGCAGCAGCAGUUGCUUGUGAGAGAGCAGACCUGCCACCUUGAUGUUAUUAGUCGCCCACUUCAACUAUGAGCUACUUCCUCAGGGCUUGGGGACGGGCCACACUAGUGAUAAUCUCCACUGGGAAUGCAAUGGCUAUGUAAUUGUAUAGAGUUGAUGAAAGGUCACAAAAUGUUGUAGUUCAAGAGAUGGGUACAAAUAGUAAAAAAUGGAAAUUUUGGAUUGGUGCUUGCAGCAGCUGCAGCAAAGCCGGAGGGAUCGCCGUCAAAGGCCGGGACGACGCCGAAGAAGGUGUUCCGGCCACCCUGGUCGCGUACGCCCACUAGCGCUGACAAGGCGACCAGUCAGCCGGCGGCUGCACCGGAGGCGCCAAAACAAGAAGCGCCAAAGCCAGAGCCUGCUGCCCAACCUUC